Molecule: long non-coding RNA, 979 nt
Filed under: Olea europaea subsp. europaea
Lineage: Eukaryota; Viridiplantae; Streptophyta; Magnoliopsida; Lamiales; Oleaceae
Source: RNAcentral
AGAAAAUGAUGACCAUUAAAUUUAUUUUUAUUUUAAGUAGAAGCAUGAUAAUGAGCACUUUGAUAUAGGCAGGACGUACUUAUAACAAGCUGCUCUUCUAAAAAGCAUACUUAUAAUAACAGUUCAAUUGGCUUUUUGUCGUAGGAAAGAAAUUUUGAAUGACGUUGAAGUCGAUAUGUUGGAGGAGUCCGAUGAUAACAACAAUGGUGACAAUACAAAAUCACUGCGUGAUGAUGCAACAAGAGGGGAUGGUAUGACUAUGCCUGAGAUGGGCAUCAAGUUCAAGGACGAAAGUUAAAUAUUAUAGUUUUAUAAAAGAUAUGCCUACGACUUGAUUUUUCCAGUGAGAAAAAGAAAUUCUAAAAAGGAUGAUGAUAAAGCUCUACAAUAUGUUACAUUUGUUUGUAGUCGUGAAGGUAAAAGUCAAUAAUACAAGUGUUUCUCUGUAGCCAUAAGCUACGUUGCAGAAGGGGUGUAAAGCCAGACUAACUGCAUGUUCAGAUAUUCAUGGAAUAUGGAGAAGUAACAAAGUACACCUUAUCACAAUCAUAGAACAAGUCCUUUGAAGUCUACACUGUAUCAAUGCAACAGAGAAUUAUGUGCUCAAGUGAAACGUCGGCUUGAAGUAAAUGACGUUGCAGGAUUAUUGCUGCACAAAAGUUUCAACUUUGCAGUUGUUAAAACAUGUGGAUAUGAGAAUAUGACCUACAUCGAGAAGAAUUGUUUAAACUAUGUUGAAAAAGUUAGGAGGUUAUGACUUGGAAAAGGUGAUGCCACGACAAUGCAGUCUAACUUUUUUAUUAUGCUAGAACAAUGCACAAAGUUCUACUUUAGUAUUGAUUUGGAUAAAGAGUUACGUUUGAAGAAUAUUUUCUAAGCAGAUAAUAGGAAUCGGCAGGCAUGUAUAGAGUUUAGCAAUGUUAUCACAUUUGGUACUAGGGAUGGCUCGAUUCGGCUCGGCUCGGCCCUUUAAUCCACG